This is a long non-coding RNA of Panicum virgatum (switchgrass), 756 nucleotides long. RefSeq lists it as uncharacterized. The transcript is spliced from 3 exons. NCBI's taxonomy places the organism in Eukaryota, Viridiplantae, Streptophyta, Magnoliopsida, Poales, Poaceae. The record is from RefSeq and is a predicted model, not a curated record.
AUUCAUGACUCUCGUUCGCGGGAGAAAAAUCCCCAUCCGCUGUUCCUCCGCCCGAUCCCCAAUUCCACCGGCGGCACUCGCUUGGUUUCCAUGGUGGCUAGGCCAGAUCCCGCAAAUCCAAUCCAUCCCCUACCUCCACCACCCGGCCUAUGACUCAUGGUGAUCCUUCUGGUCAUGGAUUGCUCGUCGCCCACGGGUACGCCCCUCUAGCACUGGCGGCCUAUCUCCUCUGUGGUUGGAUUCAUGGCGAGCCAUGGGAACGACGAAUCAAGGUAUCGGACUGGUGCUGCAUCCCUGAACAGGCGCGCAGCAUGGCCAACCUUGCUCCUACGGCAGAUCCUUGUGGUGGAAGAGGAUCCUGGGGGCAUGGAGAAGCUGACUCCGAUCCAUGGGAAGUUACCUGCAGCCCCUCCCGAAGUAUCAGAUUGCACCCCAAAUAGAGAUCUACUGGCUGCAAAUCCAAACACUUGAUUAGGUGAAGAAAUAGAAGCCAACGGCUACCGGUGCAGAGCAACGGCUACCAUAGCAGAGCAACGGCUACCAAAGCAGAACAACUGCUGAGGCCAACGGUUAAACUGAAAUGUAUAUUUUAUUUGUAUAAAUAGUGGCUGUGAAAAAGUAUUGUAUUUCAUUGUCUUGUGGCCACACCUUAGGCUUAAGGAUCAUUUUUGGCGGAUGGUGCUUGUGGUUUGGACGCACAAUGGUGAAGAUGCAUAACUGUAGUAGCAUUAAAUGCUUAAGGUUACCUUUUUCCUA